CCUACGGGUGGCAGCAGUGAGGAAUAUUGGUCAAUGGACGAGAGUCUGAACCAGCCAAGUAGCGUGAAGGAUGACUGCCCUAUGGGUUGUAAACUUCUUUUAUAAAGGAAUAAAACGGGGCACGUGUGCCUUUUUGCAUGUACUUUAUGAAUAAGGCUCGGCUAACGCCGUUCCAGCAGCCGCGGUAAUUCGGAGGAUCCGAGCGUUUUCCGGAUUUAUUGGGUUUAAAGGGAGCGUAGAUGGGUUGUUAAGUCAGUUGGGAAAGUUUGCGGCUCAAACGUAAAAUUGCAAUUGAUACUGGCAGUCUUGAGUACAGUUGAGGUAGGCGGAAUGCGUGGUGUAGCGGUGAAAUGCUUAGAUAUCACGAAGAACUCCGAUUGCGAAGGCAGCUUACUAAACUGUGACUGACAUUGAUGCUCGAAAGUGUGGGUAUCAAACAGGAUUAGAUACCCCUGUAGUC
RNAcentral lists this ribosomal RNA (460 nucleotides) under uncultured bacterium. RNAcentral's name for it is "partial 16S ribosomal RNA". It matches the Rfam family "Bacterial small subunit ribosomal RNA", at positions 338 to 795 of the family's 1533-position model. The record is from RNAcentral.